UCGUACCGUGAGUAAUAAUG
RNAcentral lists this non-coding RNA (20 nucleotides) under Oryzias latipes (Japanese medaka). Its record names the gene ola-miR-126-3p. The record is from miRBase by way of RNAcentral. RNAcentral also lists the same sequence under 2 other names. Lineage: Eukaryota; Metazoa; Chordata; Actinopteri; Beloniformes; Adrianichthyidae.